AGAGAGAGAGAGAGAGAGAGAGAGAGAGAGAGAGAGAGAGAGAGAGAGAGAGAGAGAGAGAGAGAGAGAGAGAGAGAGAGAGAGAGAGAAAGAGAGAGAGAGAAUGAGCGAACGAACGGGUGCAAUAGAGACAGAGAUGGCUCCAGUGUGGACAGGUGAACGGACGGCCACGUCAGACGUCCAGAAUAUCGCAGAUGCGGUGAAAUCCAGUGUGGAACAUCAGAUCGGCCAUAAACUGACGACGUACAUCGCGAAAACCUGCCGUGACCAGGACCAGCCUUGUAUGCUGGGGAAAACUUUACCUGAUCAAGAUCGAUAGCGGAGAUUCCAACAACGUCCUCCACAUUGAGGUGUUCGUUCCACGUCAGCACUCUAUCUCUGAUUCAGUUCUGCUGGCGGUCGUGGAAAACUUCAGGAUGAGCGAUCCGCUGGAACCCUUGGUCUGAGAAACGAGAGUUUCCUGACCGAUGCCAACCCCUCGCUGUGCUUGCGGCCCACCCCUCGGGAAUAUUCCCCUCCCUCCCUACAAAGCUCGUCACACGGGGUAGUUGGGACACCCUUCAGCUACCCACUGUUUAAUGCUGGGUUUGGUUCUUCCUGUCCACAGAUCCCAGACACACUCCCACCUCCCCCAGACCCUACACACCCACCUCCCCCCCGCCAACUCACCGACACGUCCCGCGCUCCCGGAAUACCAGCAGACCCACCUCUCCAGCUCGCUGAGGCCACCUGAACCGUCAGCUGUUCGACGCACAAGCUUUUCGCUAAUAAAACGCGUUGAUCCGAUUGGUCGUCUGGUCGUCUAUAACCAUCCCCUCUUUCGGAUGCUGGGGGCGGGGGCAAC
Long non-coding RNA from Hypanus sabinus (Atlantic stingray), 844 nucleotides. RefSeq lists it as uncharacterized. The transcript is spliced from 3 exons. NCBI's taxonomy places the organism in Eukaryota, Metazoa, Chordata, Chondrichthyes, Myliobatiformes, Dasyatidae. The record is from RefSeq and is a predicted model, not a curated record.